This 673-nucleotide ribosomal RNA is filed under the name uncultured fungus. RNAcentral's name for it is "eukaryotic LSU rRNA". The stretch from base 282 to 433 matches the Rfam family "5.8S ribosomal RNA". Lineage: Eukaryota; Fungi. The record is from RNAcentral.
CUUGGUCAUUUAGAGGAAGUAAGAGUCGUAACAAGGUCUCCGUAGGUGAACCUGCGGAGGGAUCAUUCAGGAAGCAGGCGCCCAGGCGCCCUUCUCUCCCUUAAACCAUGUGGUCCUAUGCCAUGCCUCGGGGGGGUCAAGCGGCCUAGGCCGUGGGGUCCUUUGAGGCCCGCCCCCCCGCGUCUGUCGUGCCUCGGGCGAGUCCGCUCGUCCGGGAGCCGGCAUGCUUCAGUCUUGGAGUGAUGAUUGUGUCUGAUCAGUCCAGUGGACAGAAUUAUUAAAACUUUCAACAACGGAUCUCUUGGCUCUCGCAUCGAUGAAGAACGCAGCAAGUUGCGAUACGUAGUGUGAACUGCGUCUAUUAGUGAAUCAUCGAAUCUUUGAACGCACAUUGCGCCGCCCGUCGCUGGGUGGCAUGCCUGUCUGAGCGUCGCUCUAAACCCUCACACCCCAAUCGGGUUGUGGUCAUGGGCCUCGCCCCUCCCCUCCAUUGGGUCGGGGGCGUGGCCUGAAAGGCAUCGGUCGCUGGCCCCCCUUUGGGUCUCGGUGUGCGAGUCUGCUUGACGUCUCGCCGGGACCGAUCGGGGGCAGGGGAGACCCUAAACUUAUGAACCUUUGACCUCAGAUCAGGUAGGACUACGGGCUGAACUUAAGCAUAUCAAUAAGCGGAGGA